UCAAAAUACCUUACCAUAGCAAAUGCCUCUCUAGUGUAAACUAAAAAGAUGAAUAAUGGUCUGCAGUAAAUAUAUCCCCUUACAACCUUUUCUUUCAUGUUAAUUUUAAUAUCUUUAAGAUAUGUGACAAGGGUGCUCUAAUGCAGAGGAAUUUACGAAGUUAAGAAGUUAGAAAUAUAUUUUUGCACUUUUUUUGUCAUUUUUAGCUGAUUUUGGUUUGUAACUAAGGUGAUAUUUUUUAAAGAAUAAUUUUACAAAAGGCAUAGUUGAAGAACAUCUUGUUGAAAUUGGAUUGGUUGAUUUUUGGUGUUAAACACCACUUUAACAUGAUUUACUAUAAUUUUGGCUGUAAAUUUUUAUUUGUGGAGACAGCCAGAGUGCCUGGUGAAAACAUCACCUUCAUCAGGGAAAGGGCAAACCCUAGUCAAAUUAAGAAUGAAGUUACACAUUUCAUGUGAGGGUUCUCAGUGUUGACAGGCUAGUGAUACAGUAGUUGAACUACUUAUAGGACCACUCUGCCACCAUAAGUCGAUCAGUACGAAAUAUUUUAUUGAAAUGUGUUAGAUUUUUGUUAUCAAUCUAUUUUUUAAUUUUAAUUGUACUAUUUUAUUUAUUUUGUUUAAUAUAACAAGGAUGUGGAGUCCGAACAGGGUGAAAUUUGGGUCAAAGGGAGGCAAUUUAUUAUACCCCUGUUUAACUCCACAUACUUGAAUUUCCCUCAAUGUUAGGAUUUUCAUCUACUUGGAUAUUCAUGUUUGUACAUUUUUUUUUAAUAUCAGAUGUAUACUAGCUAAUAUUGACUAUUAUUUAGAGCUCUGUAAUAAAAAAAAAAUGUAAGCAGAGCUCUAGAUAAUAAGUAUGCAGGGUGGGAGAAAUCUUGGGUCAUUAACAAUUGAUUUGCUGGAAUUUUCAAGAAAGGGGAUUUAUUGGAAAUGCAUCUGAUAUAUUUAAUGUAUAAAACUAUAUUUAAAAAUAAAAGAUGUUAAGAUGAUGAGGAGAGCCACCUUGUCAGCCGGGAGAGCAGCUCUAAGGGAGAUGGUCAAUUUAAUCUUCACCAAGUCUGAGGCUUUACCAUGAAAAAUAUGUGGUUGUUAUAAUGAUGAUGUUUUCAUGGUGUUGGGAGUAAGACUUGGAUGUCUGAUAUUGUUAACAUGUUGGUUAGCAUCAGGUUUCAAUUGGGUUACUUGCUGGGAUAAAGCUGUUAUAAGUCGAAAGAGUUGCUGUUGCUGCCUUCCUUGUAUGGUAAAAUCCUCAGACUACAAUCCUGCAAACCAUUGGAUGAACUGUUGCUAUCUUUUGUAAAAAAAAUCAGUAGAUAUUUGUCUUAUAAGCAGAAUGAAUUAUAAAUGCAUUUAAUUUUUAAUGCUUUAUUAUUCAAAUUAUAAAUAUUUAUUUCAUUA
Molecule: long non-coding RNA, 1400 nt
Organism: Mytilus californianus (California mussel)
Lineage: Eukaryota; Metazoa; Mollusca; Bivalvia; Mytilida; Mytilidae
Exons: 4
Source: RefSeq, a predicted model, not a curated record